This 403-nucleotide ribosomal RNA is filed under the name Actinomycetes bacterium. RNAcentral describes it as "Actinobacteria bacterium partial 16S ribosomal RNA". It matches the Rfam family "Bacterial small subunit ribosomal RNA", at positions 355 to 776 of the family's 1533-position model. The record is from RNAcentral. Lineage: Bacteria; Bacillati; Actinomycetota; Actinomycetes.
UGGGGAAUAUUGCACAAUGGGGGAAACCCUGAUGCAGCGACGCCGCGUGAACGAAGAAGGUAUUCGUAUCGUAAAGUUCUGUCCUAUGGGAAGAUAAUGACAGUACCAUAGAAGAAAGCUCCGGCUAAAUACGUGCCAGCAGCCGCGGUAAUACGUAUGGAGCGAGCGUUGUCCGGAAUUAUUGGGCGUAAAGGGUACGCAGGCGGUUUAAUAAGUCGAAUGUUAAAGAUCGGGGCUCAACCCCGUAAAGCAUUGGAAACUGAUAAACUUGAGUAGUGGAGAGGAAAGUGGAAUUCCUAGUGUAGUGGUGAAAUACGUAGAUAUUAGGAGGAAUACCAGUUGCGAAGGCGACUUUCUGGACACAAACUGACGCUGAGGUACGAAAGCGUGGGGAGCAAACAGG